Papaver somniferum (opium poppy) is the source of this 2618-nucleotide long non-coding RNA. RefSeq lists it as uncharacterized. The record is from RefSeq and is a predicted model, not a curated record. The transcript has 2 exons. Lineage: Eukaryota; Viridiplantae; Streptophyta; Magnoliopsida; Ranunculales; Papaveraceae.
GUAUUGUGGUUGUGUUCAACUUUCUGAUAAAGCUAUAUUACUAAUUUAUGAAUUGGAUUUGAAAGUGGGUACUUCCUCCUGUAAUCAUUGAUAGUAUGCCAAUUAAUAAAAAUAUUUAGUGCCAUUCUUAAAUUGUCACAGGUGGCUGGAGUUAGAAAUAUAGGUUUUGUAGGUAUACCUCUUAUAAACCUUCACGAGUCUAUAACUCGUCCAUUAGGGACACCUAGGGGUUUAAAGGCCAGUUAUUCAUGCUAAGAGUAAUCGUAUCCUCGGCGACACGGAGUUGUAUGUAUGUUUUAGAAUUGUUUUGUUUGAUUUUAUCGAGGACUAGCAAAGUCUAAGUGUGGGGGAAUUUGAUAGGUGUGAUAAACACCUACAUUUAUAUCUAUUGUUUAUGCUUUCUUUGUGAAUUUUCAUGUAAAUUAUGUAUCUUAUGUGUGUUUUUGAAUUUAUAGGUGUUUUGGAGUCAUAUGGACCGAAAAGGAGCAAAAAAAAGGGUCAUUGUACAGGAAAAUGCUAUCCGGGACCCAGUCAAGGAUAGGGGGCAACCAAUUGGAGUCUAUGGCAGCAGAACCAGAGAUGGAGUUUACAUGGAAUUUGACUGAGAAUCAGAGAAAUCUGUUGUUGCCAUGGUAGAUCUUCAAGGGUUUAAUGUUGUUAUAGUCUCAGUGAAGAUUUUGAAUCAGAUCGAAGAAAUUUGGGUUUGAUUUCAAUCUGUGAUGGUCGAGGAACAAGGUGGAUUUGAUACUGAAAUCAAGACAUGGAACUGAUGAAGAACAGAUGGGAGAUUUGAGAGUUCAGUUAGGGUUUGUGUGAAUCAAAGAUUGUGGUCAGAGAAGGAGAACUCGAAUCUGAAAAUGCAGAAGUUAGGGUGUGUAGAAGAUGAAUUAUUGAAGAUUUAAGUUGCUGCUGAGAAGAUGGGUGUCUGAAAUUAAAGUUGAGUUGAAACUCCAGAAUUUGUAGCUGAGCAUAUGGGUUUUAGGUAUGAAGAAGAUUAGGGUGUUGGAUGAGAAGCUGAUUUCACAAACAAGAAGAACAAGGAAAUUGAAGGUUUUCAAGAAGUGGGUUUGUGCUAAUCCAAGCAUUGGCCGCAAGAUGGAGUAGCUAGUGGUGGUAAUGGAACUGCAGGUGUGCUGUUUUGCAGAGUGGAUCAUAGAUGAAUGUUAGGAUAGGCAAAAUGAUUAUAGUGGAAAAUUACUGGUCUUUAUGGUGCUGUAAUAGCACACAGUUAUGGGUUCGAGCUGUAAUUGAGAUGGAAAUGGAAAAUGGCAAGAUGCUGCAGCUGCAAUGAAGUGAACCAGUUGAAGCCUUGUGUUGAUUUGAAUGCAGGAUAAAGAAGAUAUUGGCAUUGGCUUGAGACUGAAAUAAGUAAGCUGCAGGAAUGAAUGGUAACCUGAAGUAGAUGAAUGUUAGGGCAAAUGUGCAGCUAGUAAUGAAGCUGAGAAGAUUAAUGGAACAGUGACUGCUUGAGGCUUGAAGUUUUGUGGAGAUAAAGCAAUGGUUGAAAUUCAUGGGUUUGUAGGCUCGAAUUAGGAUGGAUGUAAUGGCACUGCGAUGAAGGCUUGAAUCUGUGUUGGUCUAGGCUUGUGUGGGUAUUGAAAUAAAUCUGAGAUGUGCUGCUGAUGUGAGAUGGCAGCAAGAAAUUGUGGUUAGUACUUGAGCCUUGGGCUGAUGCAGCUGGAAGUGGAGUUGCAGCUGCUACAGAAGUUAAAGAAAGAAUGAAGUGAGAGAUUGCAAGGCUGAGAUGGUGUUUGCUGCAGCUUAGAUGCAGUUACAGUGGCAGUUGUGAUAUGGGAGAGUCUGGUUGGUGCUAUUGAAGUGUGCUAAUGCAUGGAACUGGUGGUGAUUCAAGCUAAAAAAUGAGCUUAGAUGCAUGUUAGGAAUUGCAGGGAAGUGACAGUGCCUGAACAAGGCUGCAGAAACAGUGCGAAAAGUGAGCUGAAUUGGUGCACUGGUGGUAUUAGUUCCGGUUGCCGGAUUUCGGAAUAGAAAGUGGGAAUUGCAAAGUUUCACUGAAUCGUGAAGGGGGUUCGAUUCGGAUGCAAGAGUCUACGGAGGGAUAUAUGAGCUACGAGUCACGCUUUUGGGCACGUUUUCGCAAGAACAAGGAAUUGGCUUAAGUGGUUCUUUUGUGAAUGUGUGGACUGCAGAGAAGCAGAGUUGAGCACUGGAAGUGUAGAAUUUCCUGGUGAUAGUUUCUGAUCAUUCAGGUGGCCAGAGACAUUUUCCCGAUGCCGGAUUCCGACGACAGUGACCAGAUUCCGGUAAUGACGUCUGCAACUCCGGCGACCAGUUUUGAACGCAAUUUACCAGAGACGUAUUUUUUAUAUACAUGGGAUUGGUGGACCACGUGGAGAUGGGUUUUGAGAAGACCUACAUUUAGAAAGAGUAUCCUUUUGGAAUGGGAGAAGCAUAUAAACAGAACAUUCUUUCUCUAAACCUAGAUAUCUCCAUUAGGGAGAGUUCUACUUUCGUUUCUAGGGUUCACAACAUGAAAGCUUUUCUUUUUCUUCUUGUUAUGAACUCCAUGAACAUGAGCUAGUUUUUAUUAUUGGUUUUAAGAUGUGAGUUGGAUUUCACAUAACAUGAUUCUUUGAUUCAAUAUAUUAGUUUUGUCU